RNAcentral lists this transfer RNA (85 nucleotides) under Felis catus (domestic cat). It matches the Rfam family "tRNA". From Rfam's summary of the family: Transfer RNA (tRNA) molecules are approximately 80 nucleotides in length. Their secondary structure includes four short double-helical elements and three loops (D, anti-codon, and T loops). Lineage: Eukaryota; Metazoa; Chordata; Mammalia; Carnivora; Felidae. The record is from Rfam by way of RNAcentral.
GCCUGGAUGGCUGAGUUUUUUGGGCGUCUGACUUCGGUUCAGGUCAUGAUCUCACAGUUCAUGGGUUCGAGCCCCACUCCGGGCU